CGAGUGGCGGACGGGUGAGUAAUGUCUGGGAAACUGCCCGAUGGAGGGGGAUAACUACUGGAAACGGUAGCUAAUACCGCAUAACGUCGCAAGACCAAAGAGGGGGACCUUCGGGCCUCUUGCCAUCGGAUGUGCCCAGAUGGGAUUAGCUAGUAGGUGGGGUAACGGCUCACCUAGGCGACGAUCCCUAGCUGGUCUGAGAGGAUGACCAGCCACACUGGAACUGAGACACGGUCCAG
RNAcentral lists this ribosomal RNA (239 nucleotides) under uncultured bacterium. Its description in RNAcentral is "partial 16S ribosomal RNA". It matches the Rfam family "Bacterial small subunit ribosomal RNA", at positions 92 to 334 of the family's 1533-position model. The record is from RNAcentral.